GAAAUAUUUGGGACAUCUUGAUGUUGAAAGGACAUAAACAACAUAAAAAUAAACCACACACAUCAAACAAAACAAAACAAGAACACAUAUUGUAUUUUUGACAUUAUUCUACCAUUUAUUUUUUGAGGCUUUGUUAUUUUUUUUUUAGAGCAGUUUUAGGUUUACAACAAAAUUGAAAGGAAAGUACAGAGAUUUCACGUAUACCCCUCACCCUCACACAUGCAUACCCUAGCCAUUAUCAACAUCAUUUACCGAAGUGGCACAUUUUUAACCAAAGAUAAACCUACACUGACACAUCAUCCCACGUCCAUAGUUUACCUUAAGGUUACCUCUUGGUGUUGUAUACAACAGAUAUACAACAAUAGAAUAUAUUCUACAAUAAUAGAAUAUAUUCUAUGGAUUCAGACAAGAGUAUAGUGACAUAUAUCCAUCGUAAAGAGUAUUUUCACUGCCCUAAAAAUCCUCUGUAAUCUGUCUGUUCAUCUAUCUCCCAUGAUCACCCACGACCACUGAUCUUUUUAUUGUGUCCAUAGUUUUGCCUUUCCAUGUCUAAUAGUUGGAAUCAUUUAGCCUUUGUAGAUUGGCUUCUUUCCUUAGUAAUCUACGUGUAAGUUUACUCCAUCUCUUUUUUCAUGGCUUGAUAGCUCAUUUCUCCUUACUGCAGAAUGAUAUUCCAUUGUCUGGGUGUACCAGUUUACCUAUUAUCCUUUCACAGACUGCAGGACACUUCGGUUGCUGCCAAGUUUUGGCAAUUAUGAAUAAAGCCACUAUAAAGAUCUGUGUGCAGAUUUUUGUGUGGAUAUAAUUUCUACAGCUCCUUUGGGUAAAUACGUAGGAGCAUGAUUCCUGGAUCAUAUAGUAAGAAUAUGUUUGUUUGUUGUUGUUGAGAUAUAAUUGACCUAUAACAUAUUAUAUUAAUUUCUUGUUCAACAUAAUGAUUUGAGAGAUAUAUGUAUUACAAAAUGAUCACCACAAUAAGUAUAGUUAACAUCCAUCACCACACAAUUAUAUAUUUUUUUCUUGUGAUGAGAACGUUUAAGAUCUUCUCUCUUCGCAAUUUCCAAAUAUACAAUACAAUAGAGUAAUAUUAAGUAUAGUCACCAUGCUGUACAUUACAUCCCCGGGACUUAAUUGAUUUUAUAACUGGAAGUAUAUAUUGUAUUACUGGAAGUAAGUUUUGGCCACCUUUACCUAUUUCACCCAGAAUGUGUUUGGUUUUGUAAGAAACCACUAACCUGCCUUCCAAAGUGGCUGUACCAUUUUUCAUGCUCAGCAGUAAUGAAUGAGAAGUCCUGUUGCUCCACAUCGUUGUCAGCAUUUGAUGUUGACAGUGUUCUGAAUUUUGGCCAUUCUAAUGGGUAUAUAAUGAGAUCUCAUUGUUUUAAUUUGUAUUUCCCUGAUGACAUAGGAUGUGUAUCUAAAAAAGGUGUUGCCAUACCCAAGAUCAUUCAGAUUUGCUCCCAUGUUAUCUUCUAGGAGUUUUACAGUUUUUCAUUUUACAUUUCGGUCUAUGAUCUAUUUUAAGUUAUUUUUUGUGAUGGAUGUAAAGUCUGUGUUCUAGAUUAAUCUUUUUGCAUAGGGAUGUCCAGUUGUUCUAGCACCAUUUAUUGAAAAGACUAUCUUUGUUUCUUUGAAUUUCUUUUGCUUCUUUAUCAAGGAUAAAGUAGAUUAUCAAA
This 1676-nucleotide long non-coding RNA is filed under the name Canis lupus familiaris (dog). Its description in RNAcentral is "lncRNA (ENSCAFG00845028199.1)". The record is from RNAcentral. Lineage: Eukaryota; Metazoa; Chordata; Mammalia; Carnivora; Canidae.